GGAACAUAAAGAAGUAUGAAGAUAGACUGAUUUAGUGGAUCAGUGGUAUCACCAAAGGUCAGCUUAUUUUUAUCUGUGGUCCAUGCAUUAGCUCUUCUUAUAGUUAAAAGCAGCAAAAAGUAUCACAUUCUUAAGUAAAUCAAUGUCCCAGAGGCUAGAAAGAGGACUAUCUAUUCUUUGAAACUCUUUAUAAGAACAAUCCUUUCCCAAAUCCUUUCUAGGAGACUUUCCUCAUAUUCCACUAAUCAGAAAUAGGGUGACACAUUCCUUCCUAAGCAAUUACUGGCAAGUAUAUGGAAUUACCAUGAUUUGGUUAGAUUAAUCCAGAUUCAUCCCUGAACUGGGCUAGGACCAAAUUUCCCUGAAGCGCAUAGCUUUAGGGAGGAUCUUGGAUAACUAAAUAAAAUCAGGUUCAGUUAUCAAGGAAGAAGCCUGAAUGGCUAUUAGAUAAAUAACCAAUAUUAUAGGUUUUGAUAAAUAUCAUGAAAGGAAUUAAAAUGGUACUUGGAAAACUGAUGGCAGUGAUAGGGCAAGGAGAUGAGAUAUACUUAAGAUAUGAAGAACCAGGGGAAGGAUAUUUGAGUACAGAGUUCAGCAUAUAGAAGGGGAAGCAAGAAAAGGAAAUAAUGAAGGUACUGAAGAACAGGUAGUAUAGAUAGAGAGUAGUGAGCAAGAGGGAGAAGAGUUUGACAGAAGGGAUGUCUUUGUAGCACUUAUCACUAACAGAAUACGAUAUGUUUAAUUCAUUAAUUUUGUAUUGCUUGCCUGCCAUCCCCACAAUGUAGGCUCCAUGAAAGCAGAGUCUUUGUUUUGAUUCACUGUUAUUUUCAGCAAACAGAUUGGCAUCUAGCAUGUGGUUUAUUAUCAAUAAGUAUUCGAUUAGCAAAUGAAUGAAAGGAGGAAAAAAUUAAAAACUGCAAUGAAUAUCCUUAAAACUAAAAAUUGAGUUUGUAAAACAAGUUUAGGAGGCAAUGAAGAAACGAUGCUAGUAGAUAAGAAAUAGCUCUGGGAAAUUAAAAGUCUGAUGAUCAAUAUUUUUAAAAAUCCAAUUGUUGCUUUGGAAAAUAAAGUUGAGGAAAUCUUGCAGAAAAUAGAACAAAAAGAUCAAAUGGUGGAAGAUAGAAGAGACAAUAUUAAAAACGAUUAAAGGGCCAAUCCAAAAACUUUAAUGUGUGACUCACAGAAGUCUCACAAAAUACAGAACAAAGAAAAUGAAGAAAAUUACCCAGGAAAUAAUACAUGACCAUAUUCUAGAACAGAAGAUCAUGUUUCUCUGGAUUUAUAGAGCCAAAUGAUUCCUGGACCUCAUCCAGAGCUGGAAAUAGUUCAUGUUUCCAUCAUUCAAAAUAAGAAAACCUUAUAAUAUGUAGGACAUUGUAUUGAGUCUUCAGUACUAGUGAGCAGAAAUUAGCCCUGCAAUAUGGCUUUGGACUUGCUCUAAUAAUAGAUAUAAAAACAAACCUUAAAAGAAUUUAAAACAAAACAAAAUAAAAUAAAAUGAAAACUUAACAAAAAAGGAACAGAGGUCGAGGCGCCCUCCAGUUGGAGUUUUUUGAUGAGAACUCCAAAUGAAGUAUUCUGCUAUGUUGACCUCUGGAUUGGUAUCAUCUCAGUUUGGGAACUUUUAAGUCAACUAAGAAAUGGAUGGAUCACUAAGGAGUCAUUUAUUCAUCUCAGUGACUCUGUUUUUUUUAAAAAGAUAUUUAUUUGAGAGAGAGCACAAGUACAAUGAGGGACAGAGAGAAGCAGACUUCCCACUGAGCAGGGAGCCCACACAGGGCUCUAUCCCAGGACCUCAGGAUCAUGACCUGGGCCCAGGGCAGUCACUUAACUUACUGAUCCACCCAGACAUCCCUCAGUGUCUGUUCAAAUGCAAUGUGAGUUCUCAUGUUUUCUCUAAGGGUUGGUCUAUAUUUCUAAUAAAGAAUUUAGCAUAGUUGUUUUAUUGGGUAAAAAACCCCCACAUUCAACAAUGUACAGUGCACGAUACCCAACAUCUAAUCAAAAAUUACUAGGUGUGGGGCACCUGGGUGGCUCAGUCAGUUGGGCAUCUGUCUUCGGCUCAGGUUAUGAUCCCAGGAUCCUGGGAUUGGUACUUUGUUGGGCUGUCUGCUCAGCAGGGAUCCUGCUUCUCCCUCUCCCUCUGCCUGCUGCUCCUCUUGCUUAUGCUCUGUCAAAUAAAUAAAUGAAAUCUAAAAAAAAAAAAAAAAAAAAAAAAAAAAAAAUUACCAGGCAAAUGAAAGCAGGGAAAUAUCCAUAACUCUAGUGAAAAGAAAUUA
Molecule: long non-coding RNA, 2279 nt
Organism: Mustela lutreola (European mink)
Lineage: Eukaryota; Metazoa; Chordata; Mammalia; Carnivora; Mustelidae
Exons: 2
Source: RefSeq, a predicted model, not a curated record